UGGGGAAUUUUCCGCAAUGGGCGAAAGCCUGACGGAGCAACGCCGCGUGAGGGACGAAGGCCUCUGGGCUGUAAACCUCUUUUCUCAAGGAAGAAGAUCUGACGGUACUUGAUGAAUAAGCCACGGCUAAUUCCGUGCCAGCAGCCGCGGUAAUUCGGGAGUGGCAAGCGUUAUCCGGAAUUAUUGGGCGUAAAGCGUCCGCAGGCGGUUUUACAGGUCUGUCGUUAAAACGUGGAGCUCAACUCCAUUUCGGCGAUGGAAACUGUAAGACUAGAGUGUGGUAGGGGCAGAGGGAAUUCCCGGUGUAGCGGUGAAAUGCGUAGAUAUCGGGAAGAACACCAGUGGCGAAGGCGCUCUGCUGGGCCAUAACUGACGCUCAUGGACGAAAGCUAGGGGAGCGAAAGGGAUUAGAUACCCCUGUAGUC
RNAcentral lists this ribosomal RNA (425 nucleotides) under uncultured cyanobacterium. Its description in RNAcentral is "bacterial SSU rRNA". It matches the Rfam family "Bacterial small subunit ribosomal RNA", at positions 355 to 795 of the family's 1533-position model. The record is from RNAcentral. Lineage: Bacteria; Bacillati; Cyanobacteriota.